CCUACGGGUGACAGCAGUGGGGGAUAUUGCACAAUGGGGGAAACCCUGAUGCAGCGACGCCGCGUGUAGGAAGACGGUCCUCUGUAUUGUAAACUACUGUCCCCAGGGACGAAGAUGACGGUACCUGGGGAGGAAGCUCCGGCAAACAACGUGCCAGCCGCCGCGGAAAUACGUAGGGAGCGAGCGUUGUCCGGAAUUACUGGGUGAAAAGGGAGCGUAGGCGGGGAUGCAAGUUGGGGGUUAAAUCUACCGGCUAAACUGGUAAUCGCACUCAAAACUGCAGCUCUUGAGUGAAGUAGAGGCAGGCGGAAUUCCUAGUGUAGCGGUGAAAUGCGUAGAUAUUAGGAGGAACACCAGUGGCGAAGGCGGCCUGCUGGGCUUUUACUGACGCUGAGGCUCGAAAGUGUGGGGAGCAAACAGGAUUGGAUACCCGGGUAGUC
Molecule: ribosomal RNA, 440 nt
Filed under: uncultured bacterium
Lineage: Bacteria
Description: partial 16S ribosomal RNA
Rfam family: Bacterial small subunit ribosomal RNA
Source: RNAcentral